GAUGAACGCUGACAGAAUGCUUAACACAUGCAAGUCUUUGGCGAAGCUGUGCUUGCACAGCCUAGCCAAGGCGGACGGGUGAGUAACGCGUAAGGAACUUGCCCUGCAGUCAGGGAUAACAGACGGAAACGACUGAUAAGACCUGGUAAAGUCAGGCGGACUCAUGUCCAGCCUGAUGAAAAGAGAUGCUGCAGGAGAGCCUUGCGUCCUAUUAGCUUGUUGGUGGGGUAACGGCCCACCAAGGCGAUGAUAGGUAGCCGGCCUGAGAGGGUGGACGGCCACAAGGGGACUGAGAUACGGCCCUUACUCCUACGGGAGGCGGCAGUGGGGAAUAUUGGACAAUGGGGGCAAUCCUGAUCCAGCAAUUCUGUGUGCACGAUGAAGGUUUUCGGAUUGUAAAGUGCUUUCAGCAGGGAAGAAAAAAAUGACGGUACCUGCAGAAGAAGCGACGGCUAAAUACGUG
RNAcentral lists this ribosomal RNA (463 nucleotides) under uncultured bacterium. RNAcentral describes it as "partial 16S ribosomal RNA". It matches the Rfam family "Bacterial small subunit ribosomal RNA", at positions 28 to 507 of the family's 1533-position model. The record is from RNAcentral.